CGCGGCAGCAGCAGCGGCGGCGGUUCGGACCCCCCAUGGUGGCUCUUACCGUCGUAGUAGUAGCACACCUUCUUCUUAGUUCCACCCGCAGCCGUGUACGCCAUGCUGAGACCUCCUCGAUCACCGCAGGAUUCCCAUGGCGCUGGUCGGGGAGGACUCAUCGCUCUGUAGGAGCAUCUCUGACCCAUCGCUGUAUCGACUGAUGUACAGCUGCUUCUGUUCUCCACUCUGCUACCAUCACAAGAUCCAGCACUGACCCUUUCACACUGCCCGUUAUUCCACAUGACCAAGGAGGUCAAGAACAGACACUAACAGCUGCCAGAUGGGACGGGGGAGGCUUCACAGAGCCGAGGUGUCACUUCAUUAGGAGCGAGGCCAUAAAGCUGCGGGGCUGCCGACGCUGCUGAAGCAUCAACAGUGAUGGGCCUCCUCUGAGCUGCAGGGGAAGAAGAGAAACUCUGGGACCAGAGCAGCUGAAAGAAGGGUAUGAUGUGGACUUAAUCCACAGUUUACCCUGUCCUCUUCAUCUGAGGUCUGCACUUUAGGAAAAUACCAAACCAGCAGACAGAGUGGCAUCCUCACUCUAAUGAGCAUUAGUCUUAAGCAACAACACAGCCUGUAAUUGAGUUGUGUUUCAGUUCAAAUUUGCAUGUUUCAAAGAAAAUUCAGAAUAAAACAUUAACCCUUGCUGAUGACGUCACAAUGUAGCAUUUUUUCUUUUUUAUCAACAAACCAAGAAGAAAACUACUGGAGUUCCUCAGAGAUUUAACAAAUCCACAUUUCAAGCAAACUUUAGUUUACGUUAGUCAAACAAUGGACGUUUUCAGCCCAUGAUUGAUGUCCAGAUCCCCAAGAAACAUUUAGAGACUAAAGGUUAUAGAGCUAAGCAUUAUAGAGUGUUGAGGAUUUUUUUCAGUUAGUGUCUAACUGACUGUGAAAUUCUCACAAAGCUGUCAGACAAUAGCUAAGAACCUUUCUUUUUUUCUACUUUUUUUUUUACUUUUCUGGAGCCUGUUCUGGUUGUGAAUCAGAUGUUGGAAUGUUUCAAAUGAAGUCAUAUCCCACAGGUUUCAUUUUGAAAGCGGUUCAUCUUCAUGACCCAAUUCUGGCAAAGACAAUUGAAUGUGCACCUGCACUGUAUCUCAUUUAGGAUCAAGAGCUGAAUAAUUCAUACAUAGUUAUGGACUCAUUAAAGAUGUAUUUAUG
This is a long non-coding RNA of Oryzias melastigma (Indian medaka), 1206 nucleotides long. RefSeq lists it as uncharacterized. The transcript is spliced from 3 exons. The record is from RefSeq and is a predicted model, not a curated record. Lineage: Eukaryota; Metazoa; Chordata; Actinopteri; Beloniformes; Adrianichthyidae.